Labrus mixtus (cuckoo wrasse) is the source of this 2593-nucleotide long non-coding RNA. RefSeq lists it as uncharacterized. Lineage: Eukaryota; Metazoa; Chordata; Actinopteri; Labriformes; Labridae. The record is from RefSeq and is a predicted model, not a curated record. The transcript is spliced from 4 exons.
AUAUCCUGUUUUAAACAUGUAUCCGAUUGCAUUGAUUUCAUUGUCCUGUUCCUUCUUGGUAAUGCUUAUAUGCUUGAGACCGUGCAAGGUGAUUGUCCUCUUCCUGCUGCAUACAAACCAUUGUGCCCCUCUCUCCUGGGAUGGGAGAUGUUUUUGUUUUUGGAGCUCUUUCACACAAACUCUCCCUCUUUUCUCUUUCCUUUUUAUUUUUUUAUUUUAACACAAUGGCCCUCUCUCCUCUCACCCAGCGUGGCAACGCUUUCAAACGGGGAAGCUCCAGGUCAGUUUCCCUUGCCAAGUUUUGCAGGCUGCCAUGUUGUCUAUUCUGCUCAGCUAUUUAAAAAAUGUUGAAUAUCAACAAUGGCUUUCACUGGUGCAUUGUCAACUUUUGUAUGAAGCAAUCUUGGCUGAAUGAGAUGGGUCCCAGAGCAGGGAGAGCUCAGCUGCAGUGUGCACCGCCACACCACUGACUGCCUGGCUCUUUUGGCUCUAUUAUAUAUUUCUCUGCAGCACUGGGAGCUGCUGCUUCUCCUGUCUGAAUGGCCGUGUUCGGGCCCAGGCUCUGGGCUGUGGAUGUCUCUGCUAUCUUCCAGCGCAUGGUGCUGCUCCUGGGCCUGCUGUAAGCCAGCUGUUGAGGGUGUGUCUCACAGAGGGGGAUCUGGAAGCAGCCGCAGGACCAGUCAGAUGGUUUGAGUGACGGUCCCUUCACCUAUAAGAACACAACACGGACAUCUCUACUGCCUCCGAAGGAGCCACAGCAAGACUUGAUCAUCAUGUGACAAAAGGCUGGCUGGGCCCCCCUGCCAUCGGUUCUCCAUCCAUCCACAGUCCACAGGUUUGGGCCUGAAAGACGUGCCAGACCUGCUGCCAAAGCAUCAGCCUCCACCUCACCCUGCAGACAUGGCUGAAAACACACACACACGCACACACGCAUGCAUAUACACACACACACACACACUGACGCACUAACAAAGUGCAUCCUCCAUACAUGUUAUCAAGCAUUUGAGCAUACUUUUUAUUUGCUUACAUUUCCAAAUAUCCACCAUGCACUUGUGCCCGAGACCCUCUCCUGUUCACACACAUUCUUGCCAUCUCCACACUAUCUCCACCUGUGUCACACACUCUUCAUUCCUCGUGUCAGACCUAGACACAAUCGAGCCGUGUUCACACGCUCUACCUCGACAAAAACAUAAACACACACAUGCGUAUGGUUUGUCAGUUGUCUGUCAAGCAUGCCCUAUUUUUAAAACUGUGCACACACCUACACACAUUCUCCCAUGCUUGGGCACACCCACUGUGGCCCGUGUCUUGCUGUCCUUGUCUCACAGAACAACCUUCUCUGCAGUGGUAAGAAGGGGGAAAUUAGUCAGGUGGAGUAAAUCUCGACAUCUGACACUAGUGGGCUCUCUUUAAACUUGUUUGCACCACCGCCUCCAUACUAAAUGGUACGGCACCUACUGAUUAUUGCAUGUUCUGAACUAGUCGGGUAAUUGCACAGUACAUACCUGUCCAGGGUGUAAGCCCAUCCGCUGAACACGGGGCCCCUCUGCUAGAUCUGCUCACGGUAUUGUCGUAACUGAGAGAGAGGGAGCCUCCUGUCUGUCAUUCAGUAUCAAUCAUUUUCAGCAUGAAUCCACACUCUGUGAUGCAUAUUUCCCACAGUCAUGAAGGUCAAUUUGUAGAAAGGUGUACCAGUUCACAUUUGAACUGUUUCAUUAUGAAAAGGUUCAAUUAAAAAUUAACGCCAGACGUACAAAAUGAAACACACAGAAGAGAAUCACCCCUUCAAAAGUUAAGUCAUGAUGGUUUUUUCGACAGUCAUCUGGCAUAUGAAUCAGUGCUUAGUGUUUAAUCCUGUGGUUAUUUUCAUAGCAUCUGAAUGAGUCACACUCGGUGUGCAUGUUUGGUUCAGGGUGACGUUUGUUGUAGUACAGUUUGUAGUGUGUAACCACAAAAACACAGCCAAUAUCGCAUCAGAGGAUCAUUUUGUAGUUCUUACAAUCAGGUUGUUUUGGCAAUGAUAGGCUUGAUCUUAACUUGAAAUCAGAGACACCUCUUAUCACUUUAAGAUUGAAUCAGGAAGCAUUUAUGUCUCCUUUGAUCGUCAAAUAGCUGCAAAUCAUUUUUAAAACUCCCACGCGUCGUCGUCAGCUUAUCACCGAAUUAAGUAUUUGACUUUUAUGUAACCAUUAUGAGCAAAUUCACAAAGACAAACUCAGACUGUGUUUUAACCGGAAGAAGUAGGAAAAGAAGAUUAUUCAACAGAGAUCUAGCUCUCUUAUUUUGCAUUAUUUACUGGCUCACUCCUGGUAGUAGCAAACUGGAAUGAGGAGUGUCCACAGAAGUUUGUCACACAAGCUCCGUCUGAGAACACACAGAGUACAUUGCGGACAAAUUCAACCAUGUGAACAUUCAUACGGUACAUUUAAAGUCAAACCAGGACAACAUGCCUAUCCCAUCAUGCUAGAAAUGCAGGUCAACAACAUAUAUUUAUCUGUGUUGUUAAUUGCUUUUUAAAAUUUGACAGUUACAUUUGCAUAUAUAUAUAUAUACAUUCAUUUAUUUAUUUAUUUAUUUACAAAACAUGUAGACC